AGACCUGGCGGCUGCUUACCAUGCAAGUCGAACGAUGAUGCCCAGCUUGCUGGGUGGAUUAGUGGCGAACGGGUGAGUAACACGUGAGUAACCUGCCCCUGACUCUGGGAUAAGCGUUGGAAACGACGUCUAAUACUGGAUAUGAUUACCGGCCGCAUGGUCUGGUGGUGGAAAGAUUUUUUGGUUGGGGAUGGACUCGCGGCCUAUCAGCUUGUUGGUGAGGUAAUGGCUCACCAAGGCGACGACGGGUAGCCGGCCUGAGAGGGUGACCGGCCACACUGGGACUGAGACACGGCCCAGACUCCUACGGGAGGCAGCAGUGGGGAAUAUUGCACAAUGGGCGAAAGCCUGAUGCAGCAACGCCGCGUGAGGGAUGACGGCCUUCGGGUUGUAAACCUCUUUUAGUAGGGAAGAAGCGAGAGUGACGGUACCUGCAGAAAAAGCACCGGCUAACUACGUGCCAGCAGCCGCGGUAAUACGUAGGGUGCAAGCGUUGUCCGGAAUUAUUGGGCGUAAAGAGCUCGUAGGCGGUUUGUCGCGUCUGCUGUGAAAUCCCGAGGCUCAACCUCGGGCUUGCAGUGGGUACGGGCAGACUAGAGUGCGGUAGGGGAGAUUGGAAUUCCUGGUGUAGCGGUGGAAUGCGCAGAUAUCAGGAGGAACACCGAUGGCGAAGGCAGAUCUCUGGGCCGUAACUGACGCUGAGGAGCGAAAGCAUGGGGAGCGAACAGGAUUAGAUACCCUGGUAGUCCAUGCCGUAAACGUUGGGCGCUAGAUGUAGGGACCUUUCCACGGUUUCUGUGUCGUAGCUAACGCAUUAAGCGCCCCGCCUGGGGAGUACGGCCGCAAGGCUAAAACUCAAAGGAAUUGACGGGGGCCCGCACAAGCGGCGGAGCAUGCGGAUUAAUUCGAUGCAACGCGAAGAACCUUACCAAGGCUUGACAUACACCGGAAACGGCCAGAGAUGGUCGCCCCCUUGUGGUCGGUGUACAGGUGGUGCAUGGUUGUCGUCAGCUCGUGUCGUGAGAUGUUGGGUUAAGUCCCCAACGAGCGCACCCUCGUUCAUGUUGCCAGCGGGUAUGCCGGGG
This 1085-nucleotide ribosomal RNA is filed under the name Curtobacterium flaccumfaciens. Its description in RNAcentral is "bacterial SSU rRNA". It matches the Rfam family "Bacterial small subunit ribosomal RNA", at positions 31 to 1136 of the family's 1533-position model. The record is from RNAcentral. Lineage: Bacteria; Bacillati; Actinomycetota; Actinomycetes; Micrococcales; Microbacteriaceae.